AGAGAUGAUGCUAGGUAGUUGAUCCUAUAGUUCAACUUUGUUCCUAGAUAGAAGCUGGAUUCAUCUGCUACCAGAGAAAUGAAACUUCAGGAGACCAAAACUACAUCUGAGUUUGUAGAAACUUCUUUCCCAGCCUUGAGACUCUUGGGUGUUAUGAGUCUUAGAUAUACAAUAGAUGAUGACAACAUUUUUCUUUUAUGUAUGAAGAUGUAGAUGAUUCUUCAAAUUAAAGAUGGAAGCUGGCUUUUCUCACCAGAAAUGGUUUAUAGAAUCAACUUGCAAAAUAUGAGGCAGCAAACAGAGGAAAGAGUAAAAUAUUUCUUUUAUCAUCCUUAGGUUCUUUGCUAGAUUGUAAACUCCAUGAAGGCAGGACAACUUCCUUAACACCUGGCCUAGAAUAAAUACUCAAAAAAUA
Molecule: long non-coding RNA, 415 nt
Organism: Miniopterus natalensis
Lineage: Eukaryota; Metazoa; Chordata; Mammalia; Chiroptera; Miniopteridae
Source: RefSeq, a predicted model, not a curated record